GAUGAACGCUGGCGGCGUGCCUAACACAUGCAAGUCGAGCGAACAGACGAGGAGCUUGCUCCUCUGACGUUAGCGGCGGACGGGUGAGUAACACGUGGAUAACCUACCUAUAAGACUGGGAUAACUUCGGGAAACCGGAGCUAAUACCGGAUAAUAUAUUGAACCGCAUGGUUCAAUAGUGCAAGAGGGUUUUGCUGUCACUUAUAGAUGGAUCCGCGCCGCCUUAGCUAGUUGGUAAGGUAACGGCUUACCAAGGCGACGAUGCGUAGCCGACCUGAGAGGGUGAUCGGCCACACUGGAACUGAGACACGGUCCAGACUCCUACGGGAGGCAGCAGUAGGGAAUCUUCCGCAAUGGGCGAAAGCCUGACGGAGCAACGCCGCGUGAGUGAUGAAGGUCUUCGGAUCGUAAACCUCUGUUAUUAGGGAAGAACAAAUGUGUAAGUAACUAUGCACGUCUUGACGGUACCUAAUCAGAAAGCCACGGCUAACUACGUG
Molecule: ribosomal RNA, 497 nt
Filed under: uncultured bacterium
Lineage: Bacteria
Description: partial 16S ribosomal RNA
Rfam family: Bacterial small subunit ribosomal RNA
Source: RNAcentral